ACGCUCGACACCUACGGGAGGCAGAGUGGGGAAUAUUGCACAAUGGGGGAAACCCUGAUGCAGCAACGCCGCGUGAAGGAAGACGGUUUUCGGAUUGUAAACUUCUGUUCUUAGUGAAGAUAGUGACGGUAGCUAAGGAGCAAGCCACGGCUAACUACGUGCCAGUAGCCGCGGUAAUCUGAGCGGGCUGGCAAGGC
Molecule: ribosomal RNA, 197 nt
Filed under: uncultured bacterium
Lineage: Bacteria
Description: partial 16S ribosomal RNA
Rfam family: Bacterial small subunit ribosomal RNA
Source: RNAcentral